This 496-nucleotide ribosomal RNA is filed under the name uncultured bacterium. Its description in RNAcentral is "partial 16S ribosomal RNA". It matches the Rfam family "Bacterial small subunit ribosomal RNA", at positions 28 to 506 of the family's 1533-position model. The record is from RNAcentral.
GAUGAACGCUGGCGGCGUGCCUAAUACAUGCAAGUCGAGCGAACAGACGAGGAGCUUGCUCCUCUGACGUUAGCGGCGGACGGGUGAGUAACACGUGGAUAACCUACCUAUAAGACUGGGAUAACUUCGGGAAACCGGAGCUAAUACCGGAUAAUAUAUUGAACCGCAUGGUUCAAUAGUGAAAGACGGUUUUGCUGUCACUUAUAGAUGGAUCCGCGCCGCAUUAGCUAGUUGGUAAGGUAACGGCUUACCAAGGCGACGAUGCGUAGCCGACCUGAGAGGGGAAUCGGCCACACUGGAACUGAGACACGGUCCAGACUCCUACGGGAGGCAGCAGUAGGGAAUCUGCCGCAAUGGGCGAAAGCCUGACGGAGCAACGCCGCGUGAGUGAUGAAGGUCUUCGGAUCGUAAAACUCUGUUAUUAGGGAAGAACAAAUGUGUAAGUAACUAUGCACGUCUUGACGGUACCUAAUCAGAAAGCCACGGCUAACUACGU